GGGGUUGUGGCUCAGCGGUAAAGCACUCACCUCUCACGUGUGAGACUUUGGAUUCGAUCCUCAGCACCACA
RNAcentral lists this transfer RNA (71 nucleotides) under Marmota monax (woodchuck). RNAcentral's name for it is "tRNA.Glu". It matches the Rfam family "tRNA". Rfam says of the family: Transfer RNA (tRNA) molecules are approximately 80 nucleotides in length. Their secondary structure includes four short double-helical elements and three loops (D, anti-codon, and T loops). The record is from RNAcentral. Lineage: Eukaryota; Metazoa; Chordata; Mammalia; Rodentia; Sciuridae.